This is a long non-coding RNA of Oryctolagus cuniculus (rabbit), 5512 nucleotides long. RefSeq lists it as uncharacterized. Lineage: Eukaryota; Metazoa; Chordata; Mammalia; Lagomorpha; Leporidae. The record is from RefSeq and is a predicted model, not a curated record.
ACCGGAAACCACGCGCAUACACGCUCGUUAAUGGGCUUAGGUAUUAGCGAGUCCUAACGAUGCAUACAAAUGUGCUCAGCGCUCCGUAGGCCGCUCAAGAUUUAUGGGCCUGGAGCUCUCUGAAGCUGUAAACAAGGGAAAAAAAAGGAGAAAGCCAGAGAGACUGGGGGAGAGAGACCGAGGCCUGCCUUGGCCCUCCAGGCCCGACCAGAGAAGGGUUCCUAGGUAUUUGCCUAAGCUCCGGGCGAGUGGCGUUUCCCGCCGAGGCCGCUGUGCGUCCGGGCAGAGGGUUGCUAGUGUUCGGGGCAGGUGGGCGCCUGCCUCGUCUGAACCUAGCAGGCAUUGGUGGGCGUAUGCGGGUGAGUGUGUGCUCUGGGCCAGCCGUGUUGGGGUGUGUGGGGGUGUGUGUGCACGCACGUGUGACCCGCAGGCCUCUGUCCCCAGGACCUGUGAACAAACCUCUAACAACCGACCUAAUAACAAUAAAUAACGUGAUGAUGAUGAUGAUGAUAAUAAUAAAAACAGUAGUUAACAGCCCCUCCCUAGCAGGAAAACAAUAAAAAGCCGGAGGAGCAGGGGACAGAAGCAGCAGUGGAGACUACAGACUGUGCCGGAGGGGAAAACAAGGAAGAAAGUUAGCGCCUCCGUACGUGCAGCCCCUCCCCAGACAAGGUCCGGGCCUGGGGCGCGGCGGGAGACCGCGCCGGGAGGCCCCGCUUCCCUGUUGCUUUCUCGCGGCUUUGUGCGAUCAAGGAGGAGACCCCACGAGUGAGGGUGGCCGGGGGCAGGGAGGGUGCCUUGUGGAUUCUCUGUGUGGAAGAAGAGGCCGAGCAUCCAGGGGCAGGCCGAAGGGAGAGACGGAGGAGGCGGUGACCACAGCCUCCGUGCUGGCCGCCCGGGCCGCGGAGGUGCGGGGCCGGCAGGGACGCGGGGAGACGCGCACGGCCGCCCGGGAGAGGGCAGAGCCAGGCCGGGGCCCCAGCAGGCCCAAGGAAACUUCCUUUCCCGGCGUCUUUAAACAAAAAACAAACAAAAAACCCCAAGGGAGGAGUGGAGGCGCCUUGAAUUUUCCUCCGCGAGGUUGGAACCGAGGCUUCGGCCCAGGAAGCGAAGCCCGCGGGUCGGUCCCGGAUCCUGCACUGUCCUUAUCCCGCGCAGAACCGGCAACGACGCAGCGGAAAACAGAAAACACGCAGCAGCCAACUUUGUCAACGGAAAAGGCACCCUAAGGAACGCGCGUGAGAACUUGUGCAGGCUGAAGUCCGCGCACGUUUCGAGGUUUGCCUUUUCUUCCCCCGAGAGAGCGGUGACCCCUCUGGCGCGGGGAGAGGCGGAGAACUCCCUUUAGACCCGACCCAUGCGCCUCGCGACGCGGGCCGCUGGCCCCGGCCCUCCGCACUCCGGACGAAAAGGCAAGAAGAAAAACAGAACGGGUGGCCGCGCGGCCGGGCGCAGGGCGCGGGGAUCGGGUCCGGCCCGGGAGAUGGCGCGCGAGCGCGCGGGGGACCCGCCAGGCACCGGCUGGCGACUGGCUCGGCCUCGGCCUCCGCCUCCCCAGCGCGGCCUGCAGCCCCCGUGCCUCUGAAUCCUCUCGGCUCCCGGGCCUGGGCCCGUCUUCCCUGAUGAGGGGGGCAAAGUGACCCAAGCCAGACUGGGCCUUCUCGGUUUUUCUCCUGUAGGCCUGGCCGCUCGCCUCCACGCUCAGCUACUGGGAGAAGGCCAGGCAGGGCUGCUGGGAUGCCUCGGGGCGGCCACUGCCUUCCACCGCUCCCUCUUGGGUUCCCGAAGUCCAGUAACCCCCAGCCCCCCUGGGGGUGGGGGAGAGGGGCAAUGACCAGUGUCCAGACCCCUCAGCCCCCUGUCCGGUCUUCAGGAAUAUCUCCCCGAGCAGCAGAAGAAAGGGAGGGGAGCUUGGAGCGGUGUUUACAUCUCGGUCUCCCGAUCCAUUCACAUCUGGAGGGUUUAUUUAUAACUCCCGCUAUAACUCUCUCUGUUCCGAGGCACUGGUGGCUCUCUUGACAGACUGAGGUCUACAAAAUAUUGCUUUAUCUCUAACCGUACCUAAAUGUGCUGUGGUUGUAUUUUCAGAUUUAUGCUUCAGGAAAAUAUAAUUAUUUCCAUUGUAUUUGUGCAUAUACAAUAGUUAUAGAAGCAGAUUUAUAUAUGGGAAAAUAUAUGGCUCUCUUAUAGCCAUCCAGCUUUAUGGACAUUUGAUACCCUGACAGGUUUAUGUCUCUGAGAGCCAUAUAGAUAAAUGUAUAUCAUUAGAAUUAUGUAUCGGGAGAGAGAUGCUUAUUGAUUGUGAUAUAGAGUACUUAGAGCAUUCAGUUACAGCCGUAUAUGGCUACGGAGAUAUUUCUAUAGUAUUAUCACUAUAUAUAGGCAUAUCUAUUUAUAACUACAUAGUUGUAAAAAUAGACGGAAGUAAUUAUCAUCGUAUAUGUACGGCCUCUCUCUUCUCUCUCUCUUUCUCUCUGGAGUUACAGGCACUUUCAAAGGGAAGUCUGUGGAGAUACCCGUAUGUAUAUGAGGUGCAGUCACGGCGUGAUGCGUGUGCACUGGGACCUAGGCCGGCCUGUCUCGGAGCGGACGCAUUUCCACGGAGGGGCUGGAAGAGACUUGUUCACAGAGGCAUCUGCGAAGCUAUGUCAGGCUCUCUAGGAAAUCGGCAGCCCAGUUCUUUACUUAGCGAGGGAUGGAGUUACAAAGGGUGAACAGGGCACUGCAAGUCUCCAGAAGGGGAGGCCGCUGGAGGGUGCCCCGGGCUCGGCGCGCACAAACAGAGCGGAAGAAGAGGGGUAAGCGCCCAGGCGCCACCGGCAUCCACCAGGAGGCGAGAACCGGUUUCGCCUGGGCCUGGUGAAGACAGGUGUGGACAGGGAGCUUGCAGAAGGGGAGCCAGUGCACGGAGCCCCCACCCCACCUGCCACAGGGGGCCAGGUCUCCGCUUUUAGUGCACCCGAGGCUAGCAGCAGUCCAGCAUUCCUGGCGUGGUUUUCUUGAACCCUAAUUUGUAAGUCUGCAAGUAUGGACUUCCGAGGUGAAGAGGGUUGGGGGGGGGGGACAGCAGACGGCGGGGAGCACACUUCCUGCUGUCUCUGAGCCAGGAAAGUGAGGUGAGCACGGUCGGAGAAAGCUCACCCCCCCCCCCCCACCGGGCCUCCCAUGCUCCAGGGGCUGAUGUGUGGCGGGGAUCCUGAGCCCAGGCGGCGAUGGGGCGGGGACGCUGCCCGCGGGCUCGCCAAGGCCUCCCUUCCCACCUGUCCCUUCUUUGCUCCUUCUAAAGUUUCCCCAGCCGCCGCCCACCCCAGCGGAAAAUGCCACCCCCUUCACUUCAUUUUCUUUUAAACCAGGAGUCAUAGACAUCUUUGCCGAAUGGUUGUGCAGAGCACUUUCCCGGGUCAGUCUCAGCAGCCAGCCUGCCUCCCAAGAUCUCUUGGAUGCUGGAAAGGAGUGGAGACCCCCGGCUGGGGUUCAGAUCCACGCACCUGCCACCCUCCACACACCCCACAGGACUGGGAACUCCUCCAGAGAGGGCGCCCGUGCUGUCACCCCAAAGCUUGCCCUCACUGCACACCACUGGGGCCAUAGGCAGCUAGCAGGCACCUGGGGUCCCAGGCAGGAGGAGCCCCUACCCAGGCAUGGCGCCUGGCGUGUAGUUAGUGGGGCUGGGAGAACAAGGCAUCCUGAUCCAGGAAGUUGGGUGGGGGGUAGCAGGACCCGUGUCCCCAGUGCACCUUGGAUUCUUAGCCGCCCCCCCCCCCCCACGUACGGAAGCUGAACUGAAGCCCGAACCCCGGGCUGUGAUGGAGCUGCCUGCUGGCCUGUGGGGCCCCGAAAGGAGCCAUCGCUCGGUCCAUUAGGAAAUACACAAAUAAAACCGGAAUUAUACAUCAGCGGGAGACAGACAGCCUGGCCAAAGGAGAGUCUCUGUGUGCCUCAGGCCUGAACCAGGGACACCAAGUGCAGGCUUAAUAUUUUUAUAAUUUAAUCGAACAGUUCGCGUUUUUUUUAACUUCAGAAAACUCACCAAUUUUCCAAACCAGUAAUGCCUCCCAACCGGAGUGUUUUGGAUUUUUAUUCAUUUUUUAAAGCACUUUAUUUAUUCGAAAGGCAGAGCAACAGAGAGGAGAGAGAGAGAAGAGAGAGAGAGAGAGAGAGAGAGAGAGAGAGAAGUCUUCCAUUAGCUGGUUCACUCCCCAAGUGCCCACGACAGCUGGCAGUGGGUCAGGCUGAAGCCAGGAGCCUGGCACCCCAGCCAGGUCUCCCACAUGGCUGGCAGGAGCGCUGGUACUGGAGCCAUCGCCUGCUGCCUCCCAGGGUGCCAGGAGCAGGAAGCCAGUGGUAAGGACAUCCCCGCUGUGCCACACGCCUGCCUCUCACGCAUUUCUUUUUCAUUGUUAUCAUUUCCUUUUUGGACUCUGUAAAACAGCUCCUCGGAGGAGCUUGGGGCCAGGCUGGCCAGGUGUAACAUUCCCGCAUCGGGCGAGGACACUGGUGUGCGUGGCACAGGUCAGCCUCCCCUUCUGCCAUCAAGGCUGAGAGUGGGGAGGAUCUCCCAAAUUUGAUUCCUUUUCUCCCUAAGGAUCCUUAGAGGCAUCCACUGUGUGUCCCAGCGAGAGACUGCGGCCUAGGAAAGGGGCGACACUAAACCCAGAAUCCCAUUCCCUGGCCCCAAGUUCAACCAUUUUCUCCAGAGUUCUAGCUCUCCCCUCCCUCCCUCGUCCUCUCCCCAGUAACACCUGAGGCCCUGGAGCAACGCUGCUGUUUUCCCUUCAGAAAUGCAAGGAGACCCAAGUUCCCGUAUUUACAUAUGUUUGCCUGCCUGCGGCUCCAGGCUGCAGCCUGGGCUCCGGCUGGGACACUCUGCAAACUCCGGGACCUGCAGGCUGCACGUGAGGACAGUCCCUGCACCUAAGCGGGAAACCAAGAGCCAGCGGCCAAUUGGACUGAGCCCAGAGAGCCGUGUUCCCUUUCCUGGGCUGUUUCUGGGGGCCAGGCCCCCAUUGGGGAGCAGACAAAACAAAGGGCUGGAUGCACAGCGCCCUGGACUGUUGCUGGAGAUACCUGAGUGCUAGAGGCCGCGGUGUGAAGGUUGAGCAGCCCCAGAGUGCAUUCCCCUUCCUGGCAGGGACCCAGUAAGGAGGGCAUUUCGCCCUUCCUUGGCCCCCCUGCUUGGGUGUCCAGGAGCUCUUCCCUAGACGCGGCCCCUGCAGCCCUUGGCCCUUGGCAAAGGCCUCGUCCUUUUUGGCUUUGCCAGAGCAGUGCCUUGCAGAGGCCUUGGGCGCUCAGGCUCAGCUCCGCACCCUUCCACCCUCUGCCCACUUCCUCAGCUCAUUCCUGGGGGCGGGGGAAGGGGUGUCUGGAGCCCGUGGCAGGCAGCAGCAGUGGAGGCCUUGGCCAUAAGGGGACCCAAUUCCCAUCUCCAGUGCAAAGUUGGAUGCCAGGAGCAAGUUGCAAUUGCUGUAAUAAUCGCCAUCCUAAUAACAAUAAUAAUUUAUUUAGCAUAUCA